GUAAACGGGGGGGGGGGGGCGGAAGAAAGGGGAGAGAUCAGGCGAUAAACGGAAUAUUGGGACGGAGAGCGGACGGAGUCGAUUCGAGGGGGCAGAUGUCAAAGCCCCGGGUUCAGCCUGGGAUCUGCAUUUGAAACUGUCUGGAGAGAGUCUUGUAGAGGGGGGGAGAAUGCCAGGUGUAGCGGUGAAAUGCGUAGAGAUCUGGAGGAAGACCGGUGGCGAAGGCGGCCCCCUGGACAGAGACUGACGCUCAGGUGCGAAAGCGUGGGGAGCAAACAGGAUUAGGUACCCUUGUAGUC
Molecule: ribosomal RNA, 299 nt
Filed under: uncultured Staphylococcus sp.
Lineage: Bacteria; Bacillati; Bacillota; Bacilli; Caryophanales; Staphylococcaceae
Description: partial 16S ribosomal RNA
Rfam family: Bacterial small subunit ribosomal RNA (bases 51-299)
Source: RNAcentral